Hemicordylus capensis (graceful crag lizard) is the source of this 2740-nucleotide long non-coding RNA. RefSeq lists it as uncharacterized. Lineage: Eukaryota; Metazoa; Chordata; Lepidosauria; Squamata; Cordylidae. The transcript is spliced from 3 exons. The record is from RefSeq and is a predicted model, not a curated record.
UGCAACUGUUACUGAUCAGAAGAUGUUCUUGAUUGUAGAGGAGAGGAAGGAAGAUAGAUAGAUAGACAGAUAGAUAGAUGGCAGGGGUCUGUGAAGAGAGGGGUUGUAAGAAAGGAAAGAGAGAGAGAGAGGAAGGGAGGGAGGGAAGAAAGACAGAGGGGAAGAGCAAGUGGAGGAGACAGAAAGAGAGAAAAAGAAGGGGAAGAGAGAAAGAAGGAAGGGUGAGGGAUGGGCCCAAAUUGUCAGUGGCCUGAGGGGAACAAGUGGCCAUCGCCACCUAUUGGCAGCAAGGAAGGGUCGAGUCAACCACUGCUGCUGUUUGGGGCUACCGAGGUCAUGGGAGGAGGGAGGUAGGCAGGCAAGGGAUGGGCCCAGGCCCGUCAGCAGCCUGAGGGGAACGAGCAGCCAUGGCGGUGGCAGCAGUGAGGAAGGGCCCAGUCGACCGCUGCUGCUGCUCCUGUGGGGAGGAGCAGGAGUGGGGCUCAGGUGAGGGUGGGGAGGUUUCUGGGAAUAGGGGGCUGCAGCUUGGCCAAUAGGUGCCAGCAACACUGCAGCCACUACCGAGACGGGUGAGGGGGAUGGAAUAAAGGGAUGGAGGCGUGACCAAGAGGGGUGAGGGGGAUGGAAGCAAUAGGAUGGAGGAGGAAGACAGGAGUGUGGCUCAGGUGAGGGUCGAGACAGGGGGUCUCUGAGGUGACGGGGGGGGCUGUGGCAGGGGAUGAGGGGAGCAAUCAAGUACUAACCCUCAGAUGCUCUGCAUGGGUUAAGCUGGUUUAUUGUAAUUUGUGACAGAUAUUUAUUAUGCAGCCAGGUAGUAUGCUACAGCUCACUUCAUCAGUCCUGUCAAGAGCCCACAGUAUAGCAGACAAUAAGUCAUACCACCAAAGGUGGAACGGGGGGGGGCAGGCAGGGCACGUGCCCUAGGCGCCACUGAGGUGGGGGCACCAUGCCAGUUCCUGCCACCCCCACCCCAUUGCCCACCUGCCCAGCCCCAGGGCCCCUCAGCCACUUGCCUCCAGCUCCGGCCUAGGAUCGGCGAGGCCUAGUAUCGGAGCAGCCUGCAAACUGCAGAGCUCUUCUCUCCCCGCCUCUCAGCUGAUCGGCGGGUGGACGGGGCUUCCAGAGAGGCCUCCGAGUAGGUCUCCCUGAAGCCUGUACUUGGCAGGCCUCAGCAAGCCAGGAAGGAGGCUGGCAGAGCUCCCUGCAGCAGACCCUCCCUGCAGCAGACCAGACCAUCCAGCACAGAUUUGCCAGGGCCUUUUCGGUUGUGGUCCCUCAGCUUUGGAAUGCCCUCCCAGUAAAGCUCCACCACGCUCCCUCCCUCAGAGUCUUUAAGAAACCACUGAAGACUCCUCUCUUUAGAGAGGCAUUUUAAUAUUUUAUCUGCAUUAUAUAUCUGAUGGGUUUUAACAUUUUGACCUGCUGUUUUAAGUUUAGUUUUAACUGAGUCUAGUUUUUAUUAGUUUUAUAUUGUAUCUGGUUUUACUGGUUUUGUGAGCUGCCCUGGACAGCAGUGUACUGCAGGAGCAGGAUAUAAAUAUAUUAUUUAGAUUCCCAGGAAUAUACACAGCCUUCUCUUUAGCACUUAUUCCCUGGCACCCACUCAUGAAGAUCACCUAUUCCAACCUACAUAUUGAAGCUGGGCUAAGGCAGCCAAACCCGAGCUCUCGGAGGCAAACCAUCCUAGAGAGCCCGCCUCUUAAACACGGUUAAGAGAGUAAGUGAUCCCUUAACCCUAUUUACCCCAUAACCGUGAGUCCAGUUAUCUAACCGUCCACCCAUCACUGGGAAAAUCCCCACAAUGCAUCAUGUACUCGCAUGGUGCAUUGUGGGAUCUCUGGAAGCCAGGACGCAUUUACCCAGCCUCCGGAGUACAGCACUGCUUGUCUGGGAGUGCAGUUCAUACUCUCAACAGAAGAACUCAAUUGUCUGGGGGGAGGGAAAGUGAGUUUAUCAAGCCUUCCCGUCCACCCACCCAUUACCCUGCCUGAAGUAUCCUAAAAAAACCUGCUGUAAAAAGUGGAACUUUUUAAUGCGGAGAUAAGCUCCAAUGUGCAGGGGAAAAUGUGUAUGGAGUGCUCCCCAAUAUCUUGCACAAACUGCAACAUAAAUCCACCCAGUGUCUGAACACACACACCUGCCCUUCCCAUGGUGAAGCAAAGUAAAAAUGCCAUCUGGGAACAGCCCGGGUGCAGAGAAAAUAGUGGGAUGAGCUAGUGCAAGAACUGCUAUAUAUCUUAGUACCUAUGACUCGCCACACAGUUCAUUGUACAAGCCCAGAGAAGUUUACUUGAAAAUAUCCUCCAUUUUGAAAGCCCUAAGUUUAUAGGACUAGUAAACGUGCAUGUAAAUUGAAUGUAUUAAAAUGGAGAGGAAAUUAAGAGUAUAUUACUUUAUAUACCAAACUUUCAGAACAAUAAAUCAUAAUGGAAAGAGAAUGAAAUCAUAAUGGAGAUGGAGACAGUUUCUGGAGCUCAGACUUCUCCCUCUGUUUAUUGUCACUAUGACAGCAAUCCAUCAAAACCAUCAGUGCCUCUGAGAGAAAAUUCGACCAGACCAGGGGUGUACAACUCAAAUGUCCCAGUUGGUCAAAAACAACCAUGACAGUGUAAUAAAACAACCAUGACAGUGUAAUAAAAGUCAAUUUUCAGUGCACUGAUUACUGCAGUAAAAUUAAUUAUAACGAUAAAUAUUAAACCAAUUACUAGUUAGUUGUGGGUCUUUCUCCCCCCCCACCCCC